Molecule: non-coding RNA, 125 nt
Organism: Triticum aestivum (bread wheat)
Lineage: Eukaryota; Viridiplantae; Streptophyta; Magnoliopsida; Poales; Poaceae
Source: Rfam
AGAGUACUUCCUCCGUCCGGAAAUACUUGUCGGAGGAAUGGAUCUAUCUAGACGUAUUUUAGUGUUAGAUACAUCCAUUUUUAUGCAUUUCUCCGACGAAUAUUUCCAGACGGAGGGAGUACUAA